AAACGUAGGUGGCGAGCGUUGUCCGGAAUCACUGGGUGUAAAGGGCGUGUAGGCGGGGGUGCAAGUCAGGUGUGAAAGACCACGGCUCAACCGUGGGGUUGCACUUGAAACUGUAUCUCUUGAGUAUUGGAGAGGGAAGCGGAAUUCCUAGUGUAGCGGUGAAAUGCGUAGAGAUUAGGAGGAACACCAGUGGCGAAGGCGGCUUCCUGGCCAAAUACUGACGCUGAGGCGCGAAAGCGUGGGGAGCAAACAGGAUUAGAUACCCUGGUAGUCCAAGCCGUAAACGAUGGAUACUAGGUGUAGGUGGUAGUAAACCAUCUGUGCCGGAGUUAACACAAUAAGUAUCCCACCUGGGGAGUACGGCCGCAAGGUUGAA
RNAcentral lists this ribosomal RNA (376 nucleotides) under uncultured bacterium. RNAcentral's name for it is "bacterial SSU rRNA". It matches the Rfam family "Bacterial small subunit ribosomal RNA", at positions 523 to 898 of the family's 1533-position model. The record is from RNAcentral.